AUUGAACGCUGGCGGCAGGCCUAACACAUGCAAGUCGAGCGGCAGCACGGGUACUUGUACCUGGUGGCGAGCGGCGGACGGGUGAGUAAUGCCUAGGAAUCUGCCUGGUAGUGGGGGAUAACGCUCGGAAACGGACGCUAAUACCGCAUACGUCCUACGGGAGAAAGCAGGGGACCUUCGGGCCCUGCGCUAUCAGAUGAGCCUAGGUCGGAUUAGCUAGUUGGUGAGGAAUGGCUCACCAAGGCGACGAUCCGUAACUGGUCUGAGAGGAUGAUCAGUCACACUGGAACUGAGACACGGUCCAGACUCCUACGGGAGGCAGCAGGUGGGGAAUAUUGGACAAUGGGCGAAAGCCUGAUCCAGCCAUGCCGCGUGUGUGAAGAAGGUCUUCGGAUUGUAAAGCACUUUAAGUUGGGAGGAAGGGCAUUAACCUAAUACGUUAGUGUUUUGACGUUACCGACAGAAUAAGCACCGGC
This 476-nucleotide ribosomal RNA is filed under the name uncultured bacterium. Its description in RNAcentral is "bacterial SSU rRNA". It matches the Rfam family "Bacterial small subunit ribosomal RNA", at positions 30 to 497 of the family's 1533-position model. The record is from RNAcentral.